Molecule: ribosomal RNA, 587 nt
Filed under: Saccharomyces cerevisiae (brewer's yeast)
Lineage: Eukaryota; Fungi; Ascomycota; Saccharomycetes; Saccharomycetales; Saccharomycetaceae
Description: eukaryotic LSU rRNA
Rfam family: Eukaryotic large subunit ribosomal RNA
Source: RNAcentral
CCGGGGUUGCCUUAGUACGGCGAGUGAAGCGGCAAAAGCUCAAAUUUGAAAUCUGGUACCUUCGGUGCCCGAGUUGUAAUUUGGAGAGGGCAACUUUGGGGCCGUUCCUUGUCUAUGUUCCUUGGAACAGGACGUCAUAGAGGGUGAGAAUCCCGUGUGGCGAGGAGUGCGGUUCUUUGUAAAGUGCCUUCGAAGAGUCGAGUUGUUUGGGAAUGCAGCUCUAAGUGGGUGGUAAAUUCCAUCUAAAGCUAAAUAUUGGCGAGAGACCGAUAGCGAACAAGUACAGUGAUGGAAAGAUGAAAAGAACUUUGAAAAGAGAGUGAAAAAGUACGUGAAAUUGUUGAAAGGGAAGGGCAUUUGAUCAGACAUGGUGUUUUGUGCCCUCUGCUCCUUGUGGGUAGGGGAAUCUCGCAUUUCACUGGGCCAGCAUCAGUUUUGGUGGCAGGAUAAAUCCAUAGGAAUGUAGCUUGCCUCGGUAAGUAUUAUAGCCUGUGGGAAUACUGCCAGCUGGGACUGAGGACUGCGACGUAAGUCAAGGAUGCUGGCAUAAUGGUUAUAUGCCGCCCGUCUUGAACCAACAAACAGCA